GAAACGGCUACCACAUCUAAGGAAGGCAGCAGGCGCGCAAAUUACCCAAUUCUAAUAGCAAAAGAGAGGUAGUGACAAGAAAUAACAGUACAAGGCAAUUAAAAUGCUUUGUAAUUGGAAUGAUAGAAAUUUAAAUACUUUUUAAAGUAUCAAUUGGAGGGCAAGUCUGGUGCCAGCAGCCGCGGUAAUUCCAGCUCCAAUAGCGUAUAUUAAAAUUGUUGCAGUUAAAAAGCUCGUAGUUGAAUUUCUGCUAGAAAUAACCGGUUUGCUUUUAUUAAUAAAAGUGGUAUCUUGGUGUGUUUCUAGCAAUAAUGUUCUUUGAAAUGUUUUUUACUUAAUUGUAAAAAGCAAAUUUCAGGAUUUUUACUUUGAGAAAAUUAGAGUGUUUCAAGCAUGCUAACGUUUUGAAUACUGCAGCAUGGAAUAAUAAAAUAGGAUUUUAGUUCUA
Molecule: ribosomal RNA, 448 nt
Filed under: Hepatozoon sp.
Lineage: Eukaryota; Apicomplexa; Hepatozoidae
Description: SSU rRNA
Rfam family: Eukaryotic small subunit ribosomal RNA
Source: RNAcentral